Capsicum annuum is the source of this 5258-nucleotide long non-coding RNA. RefSeq lists it as uncharacterized. The record is from RefSeq and is a predicted model, not a curated record. The transcript is spliced from 2 exons. NCBI's taxonomy places the organism in Eukaryota, Viridiplantae, Streptophyta, Magnoliopsida, Solanales, Solanaceae.
AGAUAGUUAUUCUUCAAGAACAAUUACUAUUAUGAGUUAAAAAAAAUUAUUACUUUUAUCUUGAACAUUUAAAGUAACAAAUAAUUGUCAACUCAUUUGAGGUGGAGUUUCAGUUUGAUCGUAUUGCCUCUUAACUCCUUUUUAGUCCUUAUUAAGGACUAACAUUUUUAACUUCCCAUCAUGUUUAAUAUUUUGAUUUGAUAUAUUUGAUAUAUUUUUAAUUUAACAUCAUAAAAUUUAAUGAUCUCUUUAUAUUAUUAAACUUCACUCCUAAAAUAUUAAAUUUAUUAUAUUGAUCUAUUAUAAUUAGAGCCGUGAAAAUGAAUCAGGCCCAUUGGACCGGACCGGCCCAGUCCGUAACUUGUUAGAAUUGGACUACAAUUUUUGCAGCCCAUUUAAAAAUAGGGCUUUUUAACCCGAUCCGUAUAAGCCUGUUGGCCCGUAGGACUUGAGCAAUAUGAACUGGGCUGACCCGUGGAUCAAAUAAUAUGGCUGACCCAUGUAGGCCCACAGCCCAUAGUGUGAUGAGUUGAAGCUUGCUAUUUUCUGUCCCAUUAUGUUGAUAUUUUAAUUUGACAUAUUCGACAUAUCUUUAAUUUAAGAUCACAAAAUUCAAUGAUCUUUAUAUUAUUAAACUUCAUUCCCAAAAUAUUAAAUUUAUUAUACUGAUCUAUUACCAUUAGAGCCGUCAAUAUGGGUCGGGCCCGUUAGACUGGCCCAGUCCAGUCCGUAAAUUGUUAGGAUUGAACUACAAUUUUUGCAGCCCGUUUAAAAACAGAGCUUUUUAGCCCGACCCAUAUAAACCCGUUGGCCCGUGAGGCUUGAGCAAUAUAUAUGGUGGGCCAAAACAAUAGGGCUAACCCCGUGAAGGCCCACAGCCCACAGUGUGAUGCUAUUUUCUGUCCCAUUAUGUUAAUGGACCAUCUCGGCCUGACCCGUCAAACUCCAAAGCCCGUGUGGACUGGACCAGCCCAUAUUGAUAGCUCUAAAUUUAUCAUUUUAUUUAGUUUUUCUUAAGAAGUGUACUAGAUUAAUAAUGGACAAGUAAAAAUGAGAGAGAUGGGAACUAGUUGUUGCACGGUCCCUACCACAGCAACACGCAUGACUUACAGCUACAUGGAAACUAAAAUGGAAUCAGAUUCUUGUACAUCCCUUGGUGCUUUCUAUAUUCGUUGGACUACUCCGAAAGAGGAAGGAUAAUUUCAUUAUAACCCUAUCAGACCAGUAUUCAAUCUACUAAAAGAUCAAAUCUUCUUCCUUUUUUCAAUCGUGAAUCCAUAUCUAAAGUAGGCCAGACGUACAGAUCGACACAAAACCAUCUUAUGUCGUAUUCCAUUCAUGAUGUAUAGUCUUCCCCAAGACCCAUACUAAUUAAAGUUGUAAGCACCCUGGGCCAUAUAUACGCAGUCCUUGUAUAGCAGUAAGAUAAGAAGAUAACCCCACAGUGGGAUCAAAGAUUAAUAAGUUAAGCUGAGGGUUUUGACACGUUACGUGGGAUGACUAGGAUAUCCUUGAUAAGUAUUUAUCACUUCUUCAUUACUAAGCUUUAAUUUGGUUGGAUGGAGAAAGCCAUGUGCUUUGGGGAUUAUUUUCUCUUCUACUUGUAUUAUUGCCUCAGACACCAUUAAAAUGCCAACAAUUCCAUUACUAGAAAUAGAGAGAUGAAAAAUUAGCCCACUCACUGAAAAACCGCACAGUGGAAACAUAUUCUGUUGAAAUACUGGAAAGCUUCCUAAAAUUUUGCACUACUCCCACCAGUUCAAUCAAAACAUAUGUAAAAAUAGUCAUUAAAUGAUUUUCGGUGUAAAUUUAAAUGGGGAAAUACAAGUUUCUAGUAGUGCUGAUUCCUUUAUCAUCAUAUAAAAUAAAGAGGGCUUGCGCAAAUAUCUGACAAUUCAAUCGUCAUGAUGGGAGUUCUGAAUUUUCCCCCACAAAUGUGUCUAUAUUCAUCCAUUGAAAAUCAGGACCCUAUUUAUCACGGACAGCCAAAAGAGGCAAACAUACUACUUAUUCCCUGAGAACACAUGUUAUGUAGCCAAGAUUUCCAUAUUUGUAAUAGUACCCACCAGAUUAGUUUAUUACCCAUCCUUUGAAGGGUAUAUAAUUAAACACGAUAAGGUAAUUUUAAACUUUACAAAAACAGACGCACAAAAUAGGAAUAUCACAAUUUUAUAAGGUACGUUAUAGCUUCUUGAAUGUAAUUUUGCGACACACCUCAUGAAAUUGACGCCUAAUUAUAGGCUUCUAACUAUACAUAAGCUAGCUAAUCUUAUAUUGGAAAGAAAAGUUAAAAAGUGUAAAGAGCACUAUAUAAAUAGAGGAAAAAUUCACAUGAUGCAUACACUUGGGUAAAACUUUUGAUAAGCAAAUACUUUUCAAAAUAAGUAAUUUUUGAAAGUCUAAUCAAAGAUGAUAUAAAUUCAACCCUGCAAAAGAGAGAGAAGGUGGGGUUUGGGUUUGGCCUGGCCUCAGAAAGAUGAAUGGACUCGUAGCACUUGCUAAUUAUGCACACACUUGGGAUCACAAUCACAAGAUACAACUAUCUAGAAUCAUGAUCUAAAAUGAAUGAGGAAUUAUUUUUAUUAAAAUUUUACAAUCACCAAGAUCGAAGUGUUUAGGUUUUCAGCUUAUGUCGGUCUCAACUAAAGGCAGCACUAGGCACAUGUCAAACCCCACAAUAUACAAAAUCGGUAGUAAUUGCAUAUUUAUUUUACUACGUAGUUUAAUUGGAAGGUAGAACAUCCAUCAAAUGACAAUAAUUACUUUCUUAGUUUAGAUUUAUUUGAACACAAAUUUAUAUGGUUGGACAAAGAAGUUAAUAGACUUUAAUCUUUAUGAUAAUUAAAGUUGUUAUAUAAGUAAUAUUUAUGAGGCUAUUAGAAUUAGACAAAUAUUAGUAUAACAUUUGAAUGACAAAAAGAAAAGAAAUAAAAGUUUAUAUUAAAUUAUUUUUGAGAUGAAUAACAAAUAAAUAAGUUCACGAGAGGGAGGCUAGAGAGCAAUUUUCUGUGGCCACACCUUGUCAGCACCGAACUUGUCUGGUAGUAUAAUUUAUAUUUCGUAUGUGAUUUGUGAACUAUCGCAUAAACACACAUUAUCCAACACAGGAGCGGAAUUUGGGGUGCUCUGGUACCCACUAAACUCGACGCGGAAUAGGUAUAAUUACAUAGAAAAUAUACAAAAAUAGGCAUAAAAUAUAUAAAAGCACCCACUCUAAUAAAAAGUUGGUUAGGUGCACUGGCAUUUGAUUCGGGUUUGGACCUCAUUGAGGUAAUUUUUUAAUUUUUUCUAAGUUUUUUUAAUUUUUUAAGCACUCAUUAUCCUUAAAUUUUAGGUCCCCGCUGAUCCAACAGCGGUGGCACGGAAGAAAAAGUUGCUUAUUCUCCGUGCCUUUGUUCAUUUCACUUAAAAAGAAGACAUCACAGUGAAUGCUCAUUGUUACCUGGAAAGAGACUUGAGUUUAGGGUUAUUAAAAAGUAAACAGUGGCUGUGCAUUUUACAGUAAAAAAAACACCUAGAAUAGUUUUGCGGGGGUGGGGAGUACAUAGUGACAGGUACUGGUAGUAGCUAUCCUGAAGGGAUUUAUAUUUGCUCUCCUAUUAUGUUUCUAUAAAUAGGGCCCCCCUACACAACUACACUCCUUCAUAAGGCGGCAGUCCUCACAAAAUAAAUGUCUUUAAUUUCCCCAACCCAAAAUUUGCCCGACCACUUUUCCCCUUUCUGCAUUUACCACUUACCCGCUCAAAAAUGUACUAAUUAUGUAUAUAGAUAGGGUUACAGAACAGUGUGAAGAGGAGGAAGAGGGGGGAAAUUGGACUGGGUGACAUUGUUGACAGAAGAUAGAGAGCACAUAUGAUGACAUGCUGCUAAAUCUGGGAGCUACAGAUCGAGGACUGCAAAAAAUAAAGCAUCUCAAUUCAUUUGUGCUCUCUAUGCUUCGGUCAUCACCUCAGACCCAUUCUUCCUUCUCUUUCUCCUUAUAUUACUUUAUCUACAGUUGUUCAAUUUUAGGUUUACUUUGCUUGUUGGGGAAAUUCCUUGGGCAAAUUCCCCCAUCCAUACUUCUAUAAAAGGAAAGAUAAUGAAAAGUGGGCUCAUCAUCACCCAUAAUUAUAUAUUGACUACUGCUACAGCCUUCUCUUUUCCCGUGCAGCUUUUGUCAGAAAGGAGAUCUGUGCACUAAUCUGAUCUUUUAGUAUUAUUUUAUGUAUAUAUUUGACUAAUUAAUUUGCCCCAACCAUUCUAAUGGAUGAAUGUUACUGUUUUUCAAUACUUCCAUCGACAAAUUCAUCUACGAAAUUGCCGGUUUAUAGAUGCUUUAGAAAUAAAUACUUCUGAAUUUCUAUGAUUUAACUUGAAUGUGUUUACUUAACUGUGCUGAAAAUCUAUGUGCUAAUCUUAGUUUUCUGCUACACUUGAAACAGAUCAUUUGGAUCUCUGGUUCUUUGCCAUGUACGUACCUGAAAGGGAAGUCUUCCGGAGGGGAUGUUUAUAUCAAUUACAUGAAAAAAACCGGAUGUGGGAGUACUUGAAAUGUAAGUUCAAUGAUUCGAUGCAUGAGGCUAACAUGAUAGUGGAGCUGGAAUCUCAAGCCAUUCGGAAGAGAGAUAGUUUCAAGUAUCUUGGGUAUGAUUCUGGGGAAUGGAGAGAUUGACGAGGAUGUCAUGCACUGUAUUGGUGCAGGGUGGUUGAAGUAGAGGCUCACUUCGGGUGUCUUAUGUGAUAAGAAGGUGUCUUCUAAGCUUAAAGGUAAGUUCUACAAAGUGGCAGUCCGACAGACUAUGUUGUAUAAAGCGGAGUGUUGGCUAGUUAAGAACUCCCACAUCCAACAAUUGAAGGUGGCGGCGAUGAGGAUGUUAAGAUAGAUGUGUGGAUUUAAGGUUAUUCGAGAGAAGGUGGAGUGGCUUCGGUGAAAGACAAAAUGCAUAAAGUGGGGUUGCGAUGGUUCGGGCAUGUGAGGAGGUGUACGGAUGCUAGGUGUGAGAGGCUGGCUACGAAUGAUUUUAGGCGGGGUAGAGGUAGGCCGAAGAAAUAUUGGAGGAAUGUGAUUAGGCAUCACAUGCAUCGGUUACAACUUAAGGAGGACAUGACCCUUGAUAGGAAGGUGUGGAGGACGUUAAUUAGGGUAGAGGGUAGGAGUGCAUCUGUAAUAGUAGGAAGCAGUGUUUUGUUUGUAUCUGUCCCUGCAGUUUCUUGUUCAUAGUGUUGUAAUAAUGUUUGUGAUUUUGAAUAGAUAAUUUAUAGUAUGACUUUAUCGG